Long non-coding RNA from Thalassophryne amazonica, 98 nucleotides. RefSeq lists it as uncharacterized. The record is from RefSeq and is a predicted model, not a curated record. The transcript is spliced from 3 exons. Lineage: Eukaryota; Metazoa; Chordata; Actinopteri; Batrachoidiformes; Batrachoididae.
GUGUGUGCAUGUGCACAAUUCUGCCUUCCACUCCCAACUUUAGCCAUGAAUGGAUGUAGACACACCUUCAAAUUAUCAUUUGCAUAUAAAACCUCUGU